AACGCUAGCUACAGGCUUAACACAUGCAAGUCGAGGGGCAGCAUGGUCUUAGCUUGCUAAGGCCGAUGGCGACCGGCGCACGGGUGAGUAACACGUAUCCAACCUGCCGUCUACUCUUGGACAGCCUUCUGAAAGGAAGAUUAAUACAAGAUGGCAUCAUGAGUCCGCAUGUUCACAUGAUUAAAGGUAUUCCGGUAGACGAUGGGGAUGCGUUCCAUUAGAUAGUAGGCGGGGUAACGGCCCACCUAGUCUUCGAUGGAUAGGGGUUCUGAGAGGAAGGUCCCCCACAUUGGAACUGAGACACGGUCCAAACUCCUACGGGAGGCAGCAGUGAGGAAUAUUGGUCAAUGGGCGCAGGCCUGAACCAGCCAAGUAGCGUGAAGGAUGACUGCCCUAUGGGUUGUAAACUUCUUUUAUAAAGGAAUAAAGUCGGGUAUGGAUACCCGUUUGCAUGUACUUUAUGAAUAAGGAUCGGCUAACUCCGUGCCAGCAGCCGCGGUAAUACGGAGGAUCCGAGCGUUAUCCGGAUUUAUUGGGUUUAAAGGGAGCGUAGAUGGAUGUUUAAGUCAGUUGUGAAAGUUUGCGGCUCAACCGUAAAAUUGCAGUUGAUACUGGAUAUCUUGAGUGCAGUUGAGGCAGGCGGAAUUCGUGGUGUAGCGGUGAAAUGCUUAGAUAUCACGAAGAACUCCGAUUGCGAAGGCAGCCUGCUAAGCUGCAACUGACAUUGAGGCUCGAAAGUGUGGGUAUCAAACAGGAUUAGAUACCCUGGUAGUCCACACGGUAAACGAUGAAUACUCGCUGUUUGCGAUAUACGGCAAGCGGCCAAGCGAAAGCGUUAAGUAUUCCACCUGGGGAGUACGCCGGCAACGGUGAAACUCAAAGGAAUUGACGGGGGCCCGCACAAGCGGAGGAACAUGUGGUUUAAUUCGAUGAUACGCGAGGAACCUUACCCGGGCUUAAAUUGCAGAUGAAUUACGGUGAAAGCCGUAAGCCGCAAGGCAUCUGUGAAGGUGCUGCAUGGUUGUCGUCAGCUCGUGCCGUGAGGUGUCGGCUUAAGUGCCAUAACGAGCGCAACCCUUGUUGUCAGUUACUAACAGGUUCCGCUGAGGACUCUGACAAGACUGCCAUCGUAAGAUGUGAGGAAGGUGGGGAUGACGUCAAAUCAGCACGGCCCUUACGUCCGGGGCUACACACGUGUUACAAUGGGGGGUACAGAGGGCCGCUACCACGCGAGUGGAUGCCAAUCCCAAAAACCUCUCUCAGUUCGGACUGGAGUCUGCAACCCGACUCCACGAAGCUGGAUUCGCUAGUAAUCGCGCAUCAGCCACGGCGCGGUGAAUACGUUCCCGGGCCUUGUACACACCGCCCGUCAAGCCAUGGGAGCCGGGGGUACCUGAAGUGCGUAACCGCGAGGAGCGCCCUAGGGUAAAACUGGUGACUGGGGCUAAG
This 1449-nucleotide ribosomal RNA is filed under the name uncultured organism. RNAcentral describes it as "SSU rRNA". It matches the Rfam family "Bacterial small subunit ribosomal RNA". The record is from RNAcentral.